UACGUAGGGUGCGAGCGUUGUCCGGAAUUAUUGGGCGUAAAGGGCUCGUAGGCGGUUUGUCGCGUCGGGAGUGAAAACCCAGGGCUUAACCCUGGGCUGGCUUCCGAUACGGGCAGACUAGAGGUAUGCAGGGGAGAACGGAAUUCCUGGUGUAGCGGUGGAAUGCGCAGAUAUCAGGAGGAACACCGGUGGCGAAGGCGGGUCUCUGGGCAGUAACUGACGCUGAGGAGCGAAAGCGUGGGGAGCGAACAGG
This 253-nucleotide ribosomal RNA is filed under the name uncultured bacterium. RNAcentral describes it as "partial 16S ribosomal RNA". It matches the Rfam family "Bacterial small subunit ribosomal RNA", at positions 524 to 776 of the family's 1533-position model. The record is from RNAcentral.